UUGAGUUAUUCUUUUCUCUUGUUCCCUUUUUUACUUUCCGCUUCCAUGGACCAUGUGUUCUUUGCCAUCGAAGGUCGAAGCAACGAGAAUUUAAUGUCAUUAUGUCUGAUAAAGAAGAACCUAGCUUUGGUUAUCAUCAGGUAUAAUGCCUUUUCCUUUAGGGAGAAGAAUUUCAGCAAGCGAUGAAAUAAUGAAUUUAGGUCUUACUCAAGACAGUUCGUCCAAGACGAAUUGAAGAAACUAAAUUUUGUCACUAUUGAUACCCUAGGACGAUGGACGGGUGGGUACUAGGUCUCUUGAGGGAUUAAGAGAGAAUCAAAAAAUGUUCCCCACCGAAUUAAAGCAACGUUGACAGCAGUCAUCAAGAGGUAUCUCUGCAUGAAUGGCAAAUUCCUUACUGCAGGAACCUUGCUUUGGAUAUAAUCAGAAAUAAUAAUGGCUUUUCAUUUAGGGAGAUCAAUUUCAGCAAACAUUGAAAUAAUGAACUGAGGUUUUACUGAAGACAGUUCGUCCAAGAUGAAUUGAAGAAUCUAAAUUUUGACACUAUAGAUACCCUAAGAUGAUGGACAUGGGUAAUAGGUCUCCGGAGGGAUUAAGACGGAAUCAAAAAUUGUUCCCGACCGAACCAAAGUAACGUUGGCAGCGGUCAUCUGAAUGAAUGGCAAAUUCCUUACUGCAGGAACCUUGCUACCUCACCAACUUGAAUUAGAAACAAGCACAAAUGGUAUUCACAAGAAAAACAUUGGGAAGAAUUCUACAAUCGAUCCAUUCGAAAUAUGUCGUACACAGCUUUCAUGGAAAUAAUUUGAAUUAUCUGCUUGAAAUUUGGCACGAAUAUCAAUUGCCCAAAUUCGAAGAGCCUCGAAGAAAAUGAUAAACCAUUUGAAUGUUUAUAAUUAAAAGCUUACAAUUA
Molecule: long non-coding RNA, 913 nt
Organism: Harmonia axyridis
Lineage: Eukaryota; Metazoa; Arthropoda; Insecta; Coleoptera; Coccinellidae
Exons: 5
Source: RefSeq, a predicted model, not a curated record